Molecule: ribosomal RNA, 276 nt
Filed under: uncultured Eubacteriales bacterium
Lineage: Bacteria; Bacillati; Bacillota; Clostridia; Eubacteriales
Description: uncultured Clostridiales bacterium partial 16S ribosomal RNA
Rfam family: Bacterial small subunit ribosomal RNA
Source: RNAcentral
AACGAGAAAGAAGAGCUUGCUUUUCUGAUCGAGUGGCGAACGGGUGAGUAACGCGUGAGGAACCUGCCUCAAAGAGGGGGAUAACAUUUGGAAACAGAUGCUAAUACCGCAUAAGCGCACGGUUCCGCAUGGAACAGUGUGAAAAACUCCGGUGGUGUGAGAUGGACCCGCGUCUGAUUAGCCAGUUGGCGGGGUAACGGCCCACCAAAGCGACGAUCAGUAGCCGGCCUGAGAGGGUGAACGGCCACAUUGGGACUGAGACACGGCCCAAACUCC